Molecule: ribosomal RNA, 253 nt
Filed under: uncultured bacterium
Lineage: Bacteria
Description: partial 16S ribosomal RNA
Rfam family: Bacterial small subunit ribosomal RNA
Source: RNAcentral
UACGUAGGGUGCAAGCGUUGUCCGGAAUUAUUGGGCGUAAAGAGCUUGUAGGCGGUUUGUCGCGUCUGCUGUGAAAUUUCGGGGCUCAACCCCGAACUUGCAGUGGGUACGGGCAGACUAGAGUGUGGUAGGGGAGACUGGAAUUCCUGGUGUAGCGGUGGAAUGCGCAGAUAUCAGGAGGAACACCAAUGGCGAAGGCAGAUCUCUGGGCCGUAACUGACGCUGAGGAGCGAAAGCAUGGGGAGCGAACAGG